UACGUAGGGACCGAGCGUUGUCCGGAUUUAUUGGGCGUAAAGCGCGCGUAGGCGGCCGUCCACGUCGAAUGUGAAAGCUCGGAGCUCAACUCUGAGAGGCCAUUCGAUACGGGACGGCUUGAGUCAGCUAGGGGAGAGCGGAAUUCCUGGUGUAGCGGUGAAAUGCGCAGAUAUCAGGAGGAACACCGGUGGCGAAGGCGGCUCUCUGGGGCUGUUCUGACGCUGAGGCGCGAAAGCGUGGGGAGCAAACAGG
RNAcentral lists this ribosomal RNA (253 nucleotides) under uncultured bacterium. RNAcentral's name for it is "partial 16S ribosomal RNA". It matches the Rfam family "Bacterial small subunit ribosomal RNA", at positions 524 to 776 of the family's 1533-position model. The record is from RNAcentral.